UGUAACGUUUUGCGUUUUUUUUAGUUAAAUUUAAUGGAAUAAAUCAAAUAAAUAGAAUAAAAGUAAUUUAAAUUUAUGUUGUAUUAAUGUUGACGAUAAAGAAAUAUUUUAUUUGUUCGUAAAAUUGGUCCAUCCCUGUUACUUAUGCUCAUGUAUGUCGAAGCGUUUGUAAAAGCUUACGUGAUUUGAACUUUUAUAGCAUAAUGCUAAUGGCGCGUAUCUACUUUCUGGCGAAUUACAGUCAUACUGCAAAUUUGUCGCCAUGCAUGAAAAUCGCCAUGCAGAAAAUGUUGGCGCGAUUUUUAAUAAUAGUCAUCUAAUUCAAUAGUGGGACUUUUGAAAAGCGGCACAGUUUCUUAGCGCAACGACUGCUUCAAAUCGAUCAUUUCGCUACAAGAUCGGCUGGAAGACAGAAGUGCGCGAAUUUAAUUCGAAGUAUCUACCAAGUUUGAUUUGAGUUUGAGUUGAGUUUAAGUCAGUUUAAAGUGAAUUGAAGUCUAGUUGAGUUUUUGGUGAAAGUUAUUCUCCAAUUUCUAAGAGGACCGAGGUCCGCAAAUUCGCGAUUUCUGCAAUUGAUUUAUUUCUCGAAGGAAUUGAACUACGAAAAAAGGUAAUUUUUUGAUAAUUAAAUUAAAAGUGCUUAAGAUUAACAUGAAUUCCUGUUGGACGUGUAGCGCCUAGCGCUUUUUUCGUACGGCUGGUUUUUUCGUCGUCGUUCGGCGGUAUCCCUCGCCGAAUCGGGGUUUCGUAGGCGGAUUGAACCGCCAGUUUCGUCCGUGAGUCAUCGUUUCCGACCCGUGUGCCCAGCAAAGGCCCGCCUUUCAGAAGGCAGUCAAACGGAGGCGCGAGUGAAGUCGCUCAAUCAUCUCCGUAGCGAAGAAUUCCCGUCGGCCGCCAAUCACCGACGGUAAGGCCCUUUUCCGUUACACCCCGUGGGCCGGAAAUCACGAGAGUCGGUUCGUAGCAGCGUGUCGCCAAUUGCACGUCACGAACCCGGUCCGUAUCUAGGAAGAUAGAGGUAGCGACAUUCCCCGCUCGGUCAUAGCUGGAAGCAUAGUACGCGAAGCCGGGUCGCUGGGCUCUGUUUGCGCCUUUAUUGACCGGAGAAAGACCAUCCCGGGAAUCGCUCGGCAUCCGCCGAAGCCCUCUCGUUCGUCCAACAAUCGGAAGCUUCCGUCCAGCCGCCACUCCCUCCGCACCGGUAGUUCGGCCAUACCGCACACGGGUCCCUUUGUCGACGCUGCGCGCCAAAUCGCAGCACGGACUCGUCGGCAGCCGCCAUUCUGCUGUCGCCGCUGUUGAGCAUCGAGGUAGUCGCCAUCGUUGAGUCGUCGAGCUACGCCACCCCGUCAUCGAGCAUCGCAACACCAAAACCUGCGCAGGUAUGUGAAGAGCUUUUAGUUACAUGGCCAUGUUUGCUCUUUUUCCAUUCCGUUACGAAUUUCCCGUCCAAUACGAAUGAAGUUGCUAAAAUAAAUAGUUAAAGUUUUUGAAAUUAGUUCAGUUCCGUUACGUUUCACAUUGCUUUUUUUUAAUAAACAUACUCACUACAGUCCGUUACGUUUUAAUUCCGUUUUCGCUCGAAUGAGUAAGCAUCCCUUCCAGUUUUCCAUAAGUUCUUCUAGCCUGUGAAAGAGUUGGAGUUUAGUUUGCGUUUUCGAAGAAAUUCUGCCGUUAUUUCCAUGAACCGUUCAAAACCGUCCCUGAGUGAGAAAGUCUCUAGCAAAGUCGGGCAAAAUUAAACACGACCGGUGGUCUCUCUUUGAGAGUGGCGCUUAAGCCACCGCGCUUUUAAAAUUCCUCGUGAACAGUUUACGAACGGUUACAUUG
This is a long non-coding RNA of Aedes albopictus (Asian tiger mosquito), 1830 nucleotides long. RefSeq lists it as uncharacterized. Lineage: Eukaryota; Metazoa; Arthropoda; Insecta; Diptera; Culicidae. The transcript is spliced from 2 exons. The record is from RefSeq and is a predicted model, not a curated record.